AGGCCGUCACUCCAGCCCUGCAUUCCUAGGCUGGUCUGCAGGACUCUCUGGGGAGUAUCUGGGGGUUUGCAUAGACCAACCUGACCAGCAGAAACCUCUUGAACUGAUGAGAGUUUCCUUUCUGUUGCAUCAUGUUAGCUCAGAGCUUUGACCCUUCCCCUGUUCCUUUCCAGGUUUUGUUUUUCAGGGUAGCUGUCCACAGGGUUGGUGAUGUGUGGCUCACAGUGGUUCCUGAUCAAAAAAUGUGGACAUUCAAGCCAAAAGAGUUUCAGACUGAACUCCACAAGCGUUUAUUGGCUCCUUUAGGACUGUGCUACAGCCUGCAGCGAAUACCCACGAGCACUGCUGAUCCUGCCACCAGCAUCCUGUCCAGCUGGGGUGAUCGCAGCCAUGGCAAACAAACUGCACGCAGAUUCCUUUCACUCUCAUUUUUGCAGCUCAGGCUAACUGGGAAUGUAAAACCACACUGACCAAGGGAGAGCGGGGAAAUUGCCAGUGAAUGCAGAAAGAAGAAAAGGAAGGAAAAUGUGGAAAGCAGGAGUUUAUAGAGUGUUUCUGAAGACCUUCUCCCAGGCUAAAAUGAGGAUCAGUUCCAGGUUUGCAAUCAUAUCAACAGUAGGAUAGUGAUUUAUUUCUGAGGUUCUGUCAUCUAUACCAGCAUACUGUCUGCAUGAGGCAGUGUUUGGCGAGUGGUGCGGAGCUUACAGCCCCAAAAAGCCACUCCUGAAGGUUUGGUUAUCUGCAGCCAACAUGCGCUGAUACUGGGAAACGUUUGGAGCAGAGGUUACGUUUUGAAAUUAUGAAGUGCUGGCUUUGGUACCAAGUUUAAGGGCAGGAACAAAGCACACAGCAGCUCUGGAAUGGAAUGAAUUCUGGUGUGGAUACAAACCACUUAAUUCACUUACCUGCAGGAGGAAAGUUCAUCUUUCCAAUUCAGUGCUCCUGAGUAUUCUGAAGCUCUCCAACUGGCAGGAAAAUCACAUGGAAGAAAUGGACAGAAUCAGGUUUGCUGUGUAUUCAGAUCAAUCGAUACUAUUUUGGAUAUAUAAACUAAUGUAUUUCCUUUUGUAAGCAUAAUUCUGAGCAUCAGGUAUGAGUUUUGGAGGUUAAAUGUUUGGGAUCUGGGAAAAAAAAUGUCCCUACUGUUGCAGUGCUGACAAUGUGACAGCCAGGCUACCCUCCCACAUCAGCUCCAGAUGUGCUCUAGAGAUGCCGCUGUGAAAGCCUCCUGUCCCUAAACCAGGGCAUUUCCAAUGAAAGAAGUGUUCAGUUUUUACCUUCUCAGCUUCAUCAAGUGGGAAACAGGAUUGUUCACAGAAAGGCUGAGUUGCUGCCCACUACGCUCCACUCUGUCGUGGAUUUUGAAAGAUAAGAGAAUAUUAAUUAUAACAACCUUUAUAGACGUAUUUGCAAGAUCACUUCAAAAAUACUAUACAAAUUAAGUGUUUGCAGAGACAAUAUAUUGUAAAUGAACAGCAAUAAUGAGGAAGUGGCAGCACUGACAGAAGAUACUGAAAAUUUCAGAGUUUUGGGUGAGAAUUUUUGACAAAUCACAUGAAAGCUUUUAUUCUGCCACUCCAGGGGUGCCUUGGAAGUUGGGAGCUAGAUGUUGCCAUUUAUAGAAUCAUAGAAUCCCAGACUGGUUUGUGUUGGAAAGGACCUUAAAGCUCAUCCAGUUCCAACCCUGCCAUGGUCAGGGACACCUUCCACUAGAGCAGCUUGCUCCAAGCCCUGUCCAACCUGGCCUUGAUGGCACUUCCUUGAUGCCACUUCCAGGGAUGGAGCAGCUACUAGUUCUUGGGUCAACCUGUUCCAGUUCCUCUCCAAAGCACUACAUUCAUCUCCCAGUUCUCUUCACCCAUCUCCCAGUUUGUUUGGUUUGGGUUUGGGUGUUUUUUCCCUAGAAUUGAGGCUUUUAGUUGAAAAAGGAACAGUUUCAGGAACUCAGUUUCCUCAGAAGAUUGAGGCAUUGUAUUCUAUCCAUAACCCUUAUUGCAGAUGUUGAUGUGAAACAUCCACUGGGUUGCACCUGGGUUGCACAUGGGACAAGGCAGUAAAGCACAUGGCCCUGCAGGACACCCUUGGUGGAAGAGGGCUCAUUUUGCCAUGCCCAUUUUGUAUUGGCCGCCUUCCUGAUGUGAACUUAACAAUCUCUGCUGUUUAUUUGACUGCAUGUUUAGGGUUGAAUGGAGCUCCCAGGAAAUCUCCUACAAUUGAGCUGACUUCAGCAGACCUGCCCAAGAGAGCAGAACUGGGCUGUUUGCAUCUGCUGUGUGAUGUUCUUGGAGUCCCCCAGAUGAGAGGUGCUAUGGAGACUUUAAAAGGUUGCUACCACGCACCAGUGGCUACAAAGCAUUAGUUACGGGCUUGGCUGUCCUGUUUUGGGGGACACUGCAUGGCUUUUGGGAGUCUGAUGUUGGCAAAACGCACUGGAUUGAGGAGUGAUGCUUCUGCUCUUCCCAAUCCCCUGUAAAAAUCUUCCCAGCAAAGAAUGGGCCAUAAAUGUGUCAGAAAGUCAGUCCAAGUGAAGAGAUUACCAUGGGUAAUCGCAAAGCAUGAUUUCAUUAGAGGAUUUCUUUACACAUGGGCAUGGACAUAAGAGUAACCCGAGCCACGGGAACCGUGUGUUUCUGAAGUAGGGCACAGUGGCAGGAGUGUUAUUAAUAUUCUGGG
Long non-coding RNA from Pezoporus flaviventris, 2673 nucleotides. RefSeq lists it as uncharacterized. Lineage: Eukaryota; Metazoa; Chordata; Aves; Psittaciformes; Psittacidae. The record is from RefSeq and is a predicted model, not a curated record. The transcript has 7 exons.